This 264-nucleotide ribosomal RNA is filed under the name uncultured archaeon. Its description in RNAcentral is "partial 16S ribosomal RNA". It matches the Rfam family "Archaeal small subunit ribosomal RNA", at positions 719 to 982 of the family's 1478-position model. The record is from RNAcentral.
AGUCACUGACAUUAGAUACCCGGGUAGUCCAGGGUGUAAACGCUGCAGACUUGGUGUUGGAAGCCCUUUGGGGGCAUUCAGUGCCGGAGAGAAGUUGUUAAGUCUGCUACUUGGGAGUACGUCCGCAAGGAUGAAACUUAAAGGAAUUGGCGGGGGAGCACCGCAACGGGAGGAGCGUGCGGUUUAAUUGGAUUCAACACCGUAAAACUCACCAGGGAAGACUGUUACAUGAAGGCCGAGAUGAAGACUCUGCUAGAUUUUCAG